Long non-coding RNA from Diceros bicornis minor, 2564 nucleotides. RefSeq lists it as uncharacterized. The record is from RefSeq and is a predicted model, not a curated record. The transcript has 3 exons. NCBI's taxonomy places the organism in Eukaryota, Metazoa, Chordata, Mammalia, Perissodactyla, Rhinocerotidae.
AUCACCCCGUCUAGUCCUCGGGUUAUGGGGUAGGUGCUGUUAUGGAGCAGUCCCUGGUGUACCCAUGAGCUGCAGAGAGGCUCUUGGCUUGCUUUUUGUCACGCAGACGACCAGUGUCCUUCAGCCAGGUCCUAAGCCAAUCAGAAUACUGAUUCAAUGACUGUUAAGGUGCACCUGGACUCCCAGUUGAAGCCAGGCUUCGCUGCAAGCGCUGAGAACCUAGUUGGCCACACUGCUCUCCUCACAGCAACACCCAGCGUGUCAGUGCUACUUGCCCAGUGCUCUCCAUUUCACCGAGAGGUAAACCAAGGUCCGGAGUGGAGGACCCAAGUCAUUUCUUGGGGAAGUGGUGGUCUGUCUACAGCCUUCUGAAAGAAAAAGGGAGGCUUGGGAGUCUUAGGUAAGACAGGUAAAACUGCUGGGCCUUGGCCACUGGGAUCACAGAGUGUUUGUGGGGCAGGGACCUUCAGAAGGGCAACCUGGAGGGCAAAAUGGGUGCAGCCAGGUGAACCUGGAGAUGUGACUGUCCCCAGCUCUGAGUGCCAGGCCCCAGGCAUUGUUCUCGAGUGCAUGAGAGCCAGACUUUGCCAAUUUUGGGGAAGCCACUGGGGACCUGGGCUGGAGCCCAGAGACCUCCACACAGAUUUGGCCAGCGGCAGCCCCCUAGGCCAGCGCUUCCCAAGUCUUGUGCUAGAUGAGCUGCAUUGGGGCAAAUGAAAGGGAGCAGCUUCUUCCUCCCCUUAGCCUGCAGUAGAACCACCUGGGAGUUGGAUAACAAAGCAGCUUCAGGAGCCCCUCCCCAGACUUCCGGGAGGGGGAGGGUUGGGAGGAGGUAGAGGGAGACGGGUAGUGUGUUAGGAUUGUGCAUUGUAAACAAAUUUCCCAGGUAAAGCCUAAAUACAAGUAGUUUGAGAAUUACCAUGUAAAGUUUCUCAACUAGUAGGUAUCAAACUUUGCAAUGUGUGCGUCCUCUAAGCCAGUAAAUCCGCUUCUACAAAUCUAUCAUGAGAAAUAAUCGCAGAACAAAGAUAAAUGCUUAUACAAGAUUGUUCUUUGCAGCACUGUUCAUUCUGGUGGAAACUUAGAAACAAGUACAUGCUGCUCACCAGGAGCUGACUGGGACCUGAGCAACUCUGGGACCUCAGCACGUCGGGAUGUUGUAAUGGGGUUAGUCUGUGCACACUAACCUAGGGCAUGGCUAAGUUGUCCCUUGGUGUCUGCAGAGGGAUUGGUUCCAGGACCCCCACGGAUAUCAAAAUCUGCGGAUGCUCAAGUCCGUUUUAUAAAAUGGUGUAGUAUUUGCAUAUAACCUACACUUUUCUUCCUGUAUACUUUAAAUCAUCUCUAGAUGACUUAUAAUACCUAAUACAAUGUAAAUGCUAUGUAAAUAGUUGUUAUAUUCUAUUGUUUAGGGAAUAUGACAAGAAAAAAAAGUCUGUACAUGUUCAGUACAGAGGCAACCAUGGUAGGCCUUUUGAUCCAUGGUUGGUUGAAUCCGUGGAUGUGGAACCAAUGGAUACUGAGGGCUUACUGUAUAGCCAUCCAUCUCCCUAAGGCCUGAUGAUGCUGAGCAUCUUUGCAUUUGCUUAUUGGCUAUUUGCAUGUCUUCUUUGGAGAAAUGUCUGUUCAUAUCCUUUGCCCAUUUUUAAAUUGGGUUAUUUAUCUUUGUAUUAUUGAGUUAUGAGAGUUACUUAUAUACAGGUCUUUUAUCAGAUAUAUGAUUUGCAAAUAUUUUCUGUUUUCACUUACUUGAUGUGAUUCACUCUAUUCAGAUUUUGUUGUUUCUUGUACUUCCCAGAAAAAAAUUUCACCCAUAUUUUCAAAUUUCUUGAGUUCUUUUUACCUUUUCAGUUACUUAAUUAAACUUUAUAUCUAGUUAACAAUUAUUUAUUUUAAAUAAUCUCUGUCGAAAUAACCAGUGUGGUUUCUGUCCCCUGAUUGAAUCCUGACUGAUACAAAUGUGUACUCUUUUGUGUCUGGUUUUUUUGCUUGACAUUAUGUUUGUGAGUUUAUCCGUGUUGAUGCACGUAGCUGUAGUUUGUUGUCAUUUCUUUGUCCAUUCUGUUGGUGGGCAGGUUGGGUUGUUUAUAGUUUGAGGCUAUUACAGUGAUGCUGCUGUGAGCAGUCUUGCAUCUGUGAACGUGUCCACAUUUCGGUUGGGUGUGUACAUACUGAGGAGUGGACAUGCUGAGUCGUGGGGUAGAUGUAUGUUACAGUAUUCAGCUUUGGUAGAUACUGCCAACCAGUUUUCCAAAAUGGUUGUACCUGUUUACACUCCCCCUGUAGUGUGUGAGGGUUCUAGGUGCUCCCCGUUCUCGCCCUCACAAUACUUGGUAUUGAGAGGUUUCUUUCAUGGUGGCUUCAUUGGGGGGUGUCAGCGCCAUUCGUUGAGUCCCUCCUUUCCCCACUAAUCUGAUACACCACCUUUGUCGUAUAACAAGUCCUGUACAUGUGUAGGUCUGUUCCCGGACUCUCUAUUUUAUUCCAUUGAUCAAUUUGUCUAUCCCUCCACCAGUAUCACCAUCAUGUUUACUAUAGCUUCAUAUUAAGCCUUAAAAUCUAGA